AUUGAACGCUGGCGGCAGGCCUAACACAUGCAAGUCGAACGAGUGGCGGACGGGUGAGUAAUGUCUGGGAAACUGCCCGAUGGAGGGGGAUAACUACUGGAAACGGUAGCUAAUACCGCAUACCAUCGGAUGUGCCCAGAUGGGAUUAGCGAGUAGGGGGGGUAACGGCUCACCUAGGCGACGAUCCCUAGUUGGUCUGAGAGGAUGACCAGCCAAACGUGAACUGAGACAAGGUCCAGACUCUUACGGGAGGCAGCAGUGGGGAAUAUGGCAAAAUGGGCGCAAGCCUGAUGCAGCCAUGCCGGGUGGAUGAAGAAGGCCUUUGGGUUGUAAAGUACUUUCAGCGAGGAUGCGUUACUCGCAGAAGAAGCACCGGCUAACUCCGUGCCAGCAGCCGCGGUAAUAC
This 406-nucleotide ribosomal RNA is filed under the name uncultured bacterium. RNAcentral's name for it is "partial 16S ribosomal RNA". It matches the Rfam family "Bacterial small subunit ribosomal RNA", at positions 30 to 526 of the family's 1533-position model. The record is from RNAcentral.